AGAACGACAUGCCUUCUGAAGGCCUCAAACAGCAUCUUCUCUGAUCCGUGUUUUGGCACCUACAAGUACCUCGACAUCUCCUACAGCUGUGUUCCUCCAAGUAAAGAACCGGAGCAUCCCAUCACCACAAUCUUACACUACACUCCAAACACGUUCAGUCUCAUUUUAAUUUGAACAAUUUUAUAAGACGAUAAAUUCUUCUAGGCAAAAUCUACUUUUGUUUCUUUCCAACAGAGUCCGGCCAGACAUGUGAAGGGCAACAAAGAAAACUGGAAUGUGGUUCCAAUGUAAUCCGUAUCCACACUGCCAGUUACGGGCGAACAGAUAAAACCACCUGCUCUGCUGGACGCCCUGCGAAUCAACUCAGCAGGACCGACUGCUCUGCAUCUACAACGCUCCCUAUAGUAAGGGAGAGAUGUGAAGGAAGGACGACAUGCCUUCUGAAGGCCUUAAACAGCAUCUUCUCUGAUCCGUGUGGUGGCAUCUACAAGUACCUCAACAUCUCCUACAGCUGUGUUCCUCCAAACAGUAAGGAACCGGAGCAUCCCAUCACCACAAGCUUGCACUAUAAUUGCAACAUGUUGAUUGUAACACAGAUGAUGAAUGUGGUUUUUAAGAUGUUACCCAGAGUUAACAUCCACUGCCCUUUCUUUCAAACAGAGUCCAGCCAAA
Long non-coding RNA from Clupea harengus (Atlantic herring), 672 nucleotides. RefSeq lists it as uncharacterized. The transcript is spliced from 3 exons. The record is from RefSeq and is a predicted model, not a curated record. Lineage: Eukaryota; Metazoa; Chordata; Actinopteri; Clupeiformes; Clupeidae.